GACGAACGCUGGCGGCGUGCCUAAUACAUGCAAGUUGAACGCUGAAGACUGGUACUUGUACUAGUCGGAUGAGUAGCGAACGGGUGAGUAACGCGUGGGUAACCUACCUCUUAGCGGGGGACAACUAUUGGAAACGAUAGCUAAUACUGGAUGUGGUGUGAGGAAGGCAUCUUCUUCAUAUUAAAGGAGCUACGGCUUCACUUAUUGAUGGACCUGCGGCGCAUUAGCUAGUUGGUAAGGUAGAGGCUUACCAAGGCAAUGAUGCGUAGCCGAUCUGAGAGGAUAAACGGCCACACUGGGACUGAGAUACGGCCCAGACUCCUACGGGAGGCAGCAGUAGGGAAUUUUCCACAAUGGACGGAAGUCUGAUGGAGCAACGCCGCGUGUGCGAAGAAGGUUUUCGGAUUGUAAAGCACUGUUGUAUAGGAAGAAUAAGGUAAACAGGGAAUGGUUUACUGAUGACGGUACUAUACGAGGAAGUCACGGCUAACUACGUGCCAGCCGCCGCAGUAACAC
This 516-nucleotide ribosomal RNA is filed under the name uncultured bacterium. RNAcentral describes it as "bacterial SSU rRNA". It matches the Rfam family "Bacterial small subunit ribosomal RNA", at positions 28 to 526 of the family's 1533-position model. The record is from RNAcentral.